GAGAACACCAAAUUCGUAGCCGCCAAGCUUAACUCUCUCUCUCUCUCUAUAUAUAUAUAUAUAACAGACAGGUGCUUUCAUGGCGGCCGGACUGUUGGAAUAUUCCAGGUGCACCUCAUAGCAGCUACCUUCCAAUUUUCUACUGCUCCAUUAUCGCAUAUAUCGCAUGAAGGAAUCCACAAUUAAUUAUCAUGUGCGAGACCUUCAAUCGAGAUUACCAGUUGUGUGAAGAGCUCGGCCGCGGCCGUUUCGGAGUCGUGCACCGCUGCAACUCCGCCGCCGGCGAGUCAUUCGCCUGCAAAUCCAUCUACAAGCACUCCAUAUCCUCCGACGCCAUCGACGGCCGCUGCAUCGACAACGAGGUCAAAAUCCUGCGUCUGCUCGCCGGAGGUCCGAACAUUCUAGCGAUUCGCGACGUUCACGAGGACGACGACUAUCUCCACAUCGUCACCGAUCUCUGCGACGGCGGCGAUUUGUUCGACCGCCUGUCCGCCGGCGAUCGCUUCUCGGAGCGCGACGCCGCCGUCGUUCUCAGGCAGCUGAUGGCGGCGGUCGCGUUCUGCCACCGGCUCGGCGUCGCGCAUAGAGAUAUCAAGCCGGAGAAUAUCAUGUUCGACUCGCGCGGUCGACUGAGGCUCGUCGACUUCGGAGCCGCCGAGCUGUUCGGAGUCUCGGAGAUGAGCGGCGUCGUAGGAACGCCGUACUACGUCGCGCCGGAGAUUCUCAUGGGGAGAGACUAUAGCGAGAAAGUGGAUGUGUGGAGCGCCGGAGUGAUUCUGUAUAUAAUGCUGGCCGGAGCGCCGCCGUUCAUCGGAGACGGACCGGCGGAGACUUUUGAGUCGGUGCUGCGGGCGAAUUUGCGGUUUCCGGCAAAGUUAUUCCGAUCUGUGUCACCGGAGGCCAAGGAUCUGUUAAGGAAGAUGAUUUGUCGAGAUGUUUCUAGAAGAUUCUCAGCAGAGCAAGUCCUGAGACAUCCAUGGAUCAUAAAUGGAGGAGAGACAUCAAUUGAGGAUCUAACCUAAUAACUCAUGAAUGAUUUGCUCCUGCGGGUUGGAGCUGAGUCGCCAUAGCCAGCCAAUCUUCGAAAAUGGAGGAAGAAACAUAGGAAUUAGCACUGUGAGCCUGCAUAGCUGAAUUGAUAAGCCAGAUAUGAACACUUUUGAGAAUUGAUUCUACUUCGCUGCGGGGAUCACUCUUGCGGGGGCUGGAUGUGUUACGUGAUCAUUAAUUAAGAAAGUUUUUGUUCGUUGUCUAAUAGAAUUAAUAUAUUUUUUUUGUAAAAUAAGAAGAAUUAUAAAAAAAAUGUUACUCUAUAUAGUAAUAAAAAACUAUGGUAUAGAUUGACAAUAUAUUAUAUUAUAAAUGAUUUUAUUAUUUCAAUAUUGUUCGAGUCACACCGUGCAAGUUUCACAUACCUCUAUUUGCUCCUGAGAGGGUGUGUUGACCGUUAUUCUGAGCAUCCGACAUGUUUUAGAUUCCGAGUUCGAGUUUCAUCAUUUUUAUUUGCGGCAUAUGUAUGUGCAAGUUUCGCGUACUUUCACUUGCACAUAAAGAGGUGU
This is an RNA transcript of Andrographis paniculata, 1559 nucleotides long. It is a transcript of the gene named phosphoenolpyruvate carboxylase kinase 2-like, with no coding region annotated. The transcript has 3 exons. Lineage: Eukaryota; Viridiplantae; Streptophyta; Magnoliopsida; Lamiales; Acanthaceae. The record is from RefSeq and is a predicted model, not a curated record.